RNAcentral lists this ribosomal RNA (1492 nucleotides) under metagenome. RNAcentral's name for it is "bacterial SSU rRNA". It matches the Rfam family "Bacterial small subunit ribosomal RNA". The record is from RNAcentral.
AGAGUUUGAUCCUGGCUCAGAUUGAACGCUGGCGGCAUGCCUUACACAUGCAAGUCGAACGGUAACGCGGGGGCAACCCUGGCGACGAGUGGCGAACGGGUGAGUAAUACAUCGGAACAUAUCCAGUAGCGGGGGAUAACCUAUCGAAAGAUGGACUAAUACCGCAUACGAUCUACGGAUGAAAGCAGGGGACCGCAAGGCCUUGCACUAUUGGAGUGGCCGAUGUCGGAUUAGCUAGUUGGUGAGGUAAAGGCUUACCAAGGCGACGAUCCGUAGCUGGUCUGAGAGGACGAUCAGCCACACUGGAACUGAGACACGGUCCAGACUCCUACGGGAGGCAGCAGUGGGGAAUUUUGGACAAUGGGCGCAAGCCUGAUCCAGCCAUGCCGCGUGAGUGAAGAAGGCCUUCGGGUUGUAAAGCUCUUUCGGUGAAGACGAAACGGUUAGCGCUAAUAACGCUGACUAAUGACGGUACUCACAGAAGAAGCACCGGCUAACUACGUGCCAGCAGCCGCGGUAAUACGUAGGGUGCAGGCGUUAAUCGGAAUUACUGGGCGUAAAGCGUGCGCAGGCGGUUUGCUAAGACAGGUGUGAAAUCCCCGAGCUUAACUUGGGAAUUGCGCUUGUAACUGGCAAGCUAGAGUGUGGCAGAGGGGGGUGGAAUUCCACGUGUAGCAGUGAAAUGCGUAGAUAUGUGGAGGAACACCGAUGGCGAAGGCAGCCCCCUGGGUUAACACUGACGCUCAUGCACGAAAGCGUGGGGAGCAAACAGGAUUAGAUACCCUGGUAGUCCACGCCCUAAACUAUGUCAACUAGUUGUCGGGGAAGAAAUUCCUUGGUAACGAAGCUAACGCGUGAAGUUGACCGCCUGGGGAGUACGGCCGCAAGGUUAAAACUCAAAGGAAUUGACGGGGACCCGCACAAGCGGUGGAUUAUGUGGAUUAAUUCGAUGCAACGCGAAAAACCUUACCUACCCUUGACAUGCUAGGAAGCCCGCAGAGAUGUGGGUGUGCCCGAAAGGGAACCUAGACACAGGUGCUGCAUGGCUGUCGUCAGCUCGUGUCGUGAGAUGUUGGGUUAAGUCCCGCAACGAGCGCAACCCUUGCCAUUAGUUGCUACAUUCAGUUGGGCACUUUAAUGGGACCGCCGGUGACAAGCCGGAGGAAGGUGGGGAUGACGUCAAGUCCUCAUGGCCCUUAUGGGUAGGGCUUCACACGUAAUACAAUGGUCGGUACAGAGGGCUGCCAACCCGCAAGGGGGAGCUAAUCCCAGAAGCCGAUCGUAGUCCGGAUUGUAGUCUGCAACUCGACUGCAUGAAGCCGGAAUCGCUAGUAAUCGCGGAUCAGCAUGUCGCGGUGAAUACGUUCCCGGGUCUUGUACACACCGCCCGUCACACCAUGGGAGUGGGUUCCACCAGAAGUAGUUAGCCUAACCGCAAGGAGGGCGAUUACCACGGUGAGAUUCAUGACUGGGGUGAAGUCGUAACAAGGUA